UCAUUACAUCUGGGGCAAGUUUGUGAAGCUGGUCACUACCCCUUAUGUGAUGACU
RNAcentral lists this non-coding RNA (55 nucleotides) under Spodoptera frugiperda (fall armyworm). Lineage: Eukaryota; Metazoa; Arthropoda; Insecta; Lepidoptera; Noctuidae. The record is from RNAcentral.